This is a long non-coding RNA of Halichondria panicea, 1140 nucleotides long. RefSeq lists it as uncharacterized. Lineage: Eukaryota; Metazoa; Porifera; Demospongiae; Suberitida; Halichondriidae. The transcript is spliced from 6 exons. The record is from RefSeq and is a predicted model, not a curated record.
CCACUCUCCACCUUGUCCUCCACCCUCCAGUGAACUGAGAGAGCAGAAAGAUAAUCUUUACAGCUAGCUCUGCUGAUCCUAGGAGAGUGUUUGACUGAGGUCUCAAGUUGUUGAUCUGAGCAAUGCUGAGGGGCAGCAAAUAUCUAAGACUGGUGAGACUGAGGUGUGGAGGAGGGAGACCACUGACGGCUGAACUGUUUGGUGAUCACCAUGGCAAACACAGGCUAUUGCACACUCCAAGAUAGGUGAUCCUUGGGGAGGGUCUUAUCUGAUGGAGGCCCUCACUGAUCAGGUGUACGAGUCAGGAUUCAACAUCACCAAUGAGACACGAUAGUUGGUGUGAACAAGUACACUCUGGACAAGGAGGAGCCAGUGGAGGUGCUCUCUAUCGACAACGCUAAGACCAUUCAUUGAAUCACAGAAACGUGAACUGGAGACCCUCCGCUCCACUAGAGACCAAUCACAGCCCAAGGUUGCUGAGAUUGCAAAGCUGAUGACAGCGUAUAUUCGUCUGGUGGUGGUCAGAAUGAAGUGAUAAUCCAAUUCAACAGAACAUUUUUAUGCUGAUCAUAAAGUUCCCCAAAACAUGAGCUAGAUUGUCUUUAGUACGCUUUAAGUCUGCUUGGAUUCAUCCUGUACUGCCUCCUGGCUUGCUGGUACAAGAGGAGAGUUAGAGACGAGCACUAUCAUGUACAACAUGCGGAGAUUAUUUGCUGCUUGUAUGAGUUUAAAUUUUUUGUCCUCUACAUAUGCUGGCGAGUGUAUAAGUGGUGCAAUUCACCCCCAAAAUAAUACAAUGGUACUGGAAUCAAGGCCGCUCUGAGUCUGCUUGGAUUCAUCCUGUACUGCCUCCUGGCUCGAUGGUACAAGAGGAGAGUUAGAGACGAGGACUACAAUGCACACAGAGUGGUGGAGGAGGUCUAUGAUCGAUAUCUAAUAAAUCCAAGCAUCACUAACUAAGUAGGCAGACUAUUGUAUGGUGAAUUGUAAUUUACUCUUUUGAUGAAUUAUAAUUAUAGUCAUCAUCUCAUGCACAUGCUGUUAAGUUGUUUGCAAGCACAUUCAUAUUCAACUAUAACAAAUCCAUAUUGUGCAAUACUGAACUAUGAAAGUUUGACAGAAAUUAAUAAAAGAAUUCCA